Molecule: long non-coding RNA, 776 nt
Organism: Poecilia reticulata (guppy)
Lineage: Eukaryota; Metazoa; Chordata; Actinopteri; Cyprinodontiformes; Poeciliidae
Source: RefSeq, a predicted model, not a curated record
AUUAACUUAGUGCAACACGCUACAACAUAGAGAACACAGAAAAACAACUCAGAACCACUUGUACUCUUCACAGAUCCUUUGCCAUAGCAACUGACUGACAAAAGUUCUACUAGAUGGCAGAGCAGAGAUUACUUAACAUCUAUCAGGACUCGGCACCAAAAAACUCAAACAUUUUCCACACAAAGAACAGAAAAUUCAGUCCGCUUACAUCCUUGUGUUAAAAAGUCUUAUGGAAAAAAAACCCCCAAAACUAUCUACAGUAUGUUGAAGAUUGUGAACGCCUCACAGAGAGAGAUGAAGGGUUGAGAUUUUGUUUCGCCACCCAUCCAUCAUCAAGUCCUACAGAAAUCAAUGCAUAUUUAAGGUUUAGACUAAAAAUAUGCUUUUCAAACCAGAGGCAAAUGCCACACGAAGGAGAAAGCAGCAGCAGCUUCCCACCGCAGCCGAGGCUCCAUGAAUGAUGAGUAAUGGCGUAGGAGAGUGAGGUCAUUAUGGAGACGUGAAAGUUUGAAUCGGCGCACCGGAGGCUUCAUUUGUUCCGCAUUCACGCCUCUCUUUGACUACGAAAGUGCACACCUGACUCGCGGCUGGGGGAGAGAGGGUGACUGGCGCUUCUGCUCGUUUCCGCUUCGGCGUUUUGAAGAAGGAGCAGGCUGAACAAUUUGGAGACGGAUCUCUUCAAUGCUCCUCGAAAUGCUGGAUGUGUGAGGAGAGAUUUCUUUGCCCGCAGAGUUUCUCUCAGAAAGAAAAAAUUAAUAAAAUUGUGAUUAAACUUG